Molecule: ribosomal RNA, 250 nt
Filed under: Streptomyces salyersiae
Lineage: Bacteria; Bacillati; Actinomycetota; Actinomycetes; Kitasatosporales; Streptomycetaceae
Description: Streptomyces sp. DSM 41770 partial 23S ribosomal RNA
Rfam family: Bacterial large subunit ribosomal RNA
Source: RNAcentral
CAUGCGGGGUUGUGGGAUCUCUUUUUCACAGUCUGCCGGCUGUGAGGCGAGUCAGAAACCGUUGAUGUAGGCGAAGGACAUGCGAAAGGUCCGGCGUAGAGGGUAAGACCCCCGUAGCUGAAACAUUAACGGCUCGUUUGAGAGACACCCAAGUAGCACGGGGCCCGAGAAAUCCCGUGUGAAUCUGGCGGGACCACCCGCUAAGCCUAAAUAUUCCCUGGUGACCGAUAGCGGAUAGUACCGUGAGGGA